AUAAUGCAGUCGACGAACUCUGGUAUUGAUUGGUGCUUGCAUCAUGAUUUACAUUUGAGUGAGUGGCGAACUGGUGAGUAACACGUGGGAAACCUGCCCAGAAGCGGGGGAUAACACCUGGAAACAGAUGCUAAUACCGCAUAACAACUUGGACCGCAUGGUCCGAGUUUGAAAGAUGGCUUCGGCUAUCACUUUUGGAUGGUCCCGCGGCGUAUUAGCUAGAUGGUGGGGUAACGGCUCACCAUGGCAAUGAUACGUAGCCGACCUGAGAGGGUAAUCGGCCACAUUGGGACUGAGACACGGCCCAAACUCCUACGGGAGGCAGCAGUAGGGAAUCUUCCACAAUGGACGAAAGUCUGAUGGAGCAACGCCGCGUGAGUGAAGAAGGGUUUCGGCUCGUAAAACUCUGUUGUUAAAGAAGAACAUAUCUGAGAGUAACUGUUCAGGUAUUGACGGUAUUUAACCAGAAAGCCACGGCUAACUACGUGCCAGCAGCCGCGGUAAUACGUAGGUGGCAAGCGUUGUCCGGAUUUAUUGGGCGUAAAGCGAGCGCAGGCGGUUUUUUAAGUCUGAUGUGAAAGCCUUCGGCUCAACCGAAGAAGUGCAUCGGAAACUGGGAAACUUGAGUGCAGAAGAGGACAGUGGAACUCCAUGUGUAGCGGUGAAAUGCGUAGAUAUAUGGAAGAACACCAGUGGCGAAGGCGGCUGUCUGGUCUGUAACUGACGCUGAGGCUCGAAAGUAUGGGUAGCAAACAGGAUUAGAUACCCUGGUAGUCCAUACCGUAAACGAUGAAUGCUAAGUGUUGGAGGGUUUCCGCCCUUCAGUGCUGCAGCUAACGCAUUAAGCAUUCCGCCUGGGGAGUACGGCCGCAAGGCUGAAACUCAAAGGAAUUGACGGGGGCCCGCACAAGCGGUGGAGCAUGUGGUUUAAUUCGAAGCUACGCGAAGAACCUUACCAGGUCUU
This 964-nucleotide ribosomal RNA is filed under the name Lactiplantibacillus plantarum. Its description in RNAcentral is "bacterial SSU rRNA". It matches the Rfam family "Bacterial small subunit ribosomal RNA", at positions 51 to 982 of the family's 1533-position model. The record is from RNAcentral. Lineage: Bacteria; Bacillati; Bacillota; Bacilli; Lactobacillales; Lactobacillaceae.